AUUUAUAUAGUAUAAAUAAUACAAUUGAUUUCCAAUCAAAAAAUCUAAAAUAUUUUAGUAUAAAUA
Molecule: transfer RNA, 66 nt
Filed under: Leptocimbex clavicornis
Lineage: Eukaryota; Metazoa; Arthropoda; Insecta; Hymenoptera; Cimbicidae
Also listed under: 1 other name
Description: tRNA-Gly
Source: RNAcentral